RNAcentral lists this transfer RNA (77 nucleotides) under Leptotrichia sp. RNAcentral's name for it is "tRNA-Lys". It matches the Rfam family "tRNA". From Rfam's summary of the family: Transfer RNA (tRNA) molecules are approximately 80 nucleotides in length. Their secondary structure includes four short double-helical elements and three loops (D, anti-codon, and T loops). The record is from RNAcentral. RNAcentral also lists the same sequence under 8 other names. Lineage: Bacteria; Fusobacteriati; Fusobacteriota; Fusobacteriia; Fusobacteriales; Leptotrichiaceae.
GGGACCGUAGCUCAACUGGUCAGAGCAACCGACUCUUAAUCGGUAGGUUGUGGGUUCGAUCCCCACCGGUCCCACCA